UGGCCAGCAGGCGGUGGAACAGGGAUUUUGACAUGAGCUGUGACUCCCAGACGCCGUGCAGUUGACUGGGCUGCCAUCCGGAGCUUCCCUGGGGCCAGGAACUGCCUCGCAGGCCUGACGGGAUUCAGAUAUGCACCAAUGCACACUUUGGAGGAGAGGACCCUGAGCCUGAUCCUUCGCCUGGCCAGCUGCCCCGCAUGUGCUGUCCUGGAGCACCUCCCAAAACGUCAUUCACACACUGCUGUGGUCCUGGCUGCCACCCACCUUUCUCCUUUCUAAUGACAGGGUCCUCAGUCCCCCAGCAAGUGGGGAGAGAGUCAAACAGCCGGUAGUGGCCAGCCAGGACAGUCCCCAC
This 355-nucleotide long non-coding RNA is filed under the name Piliocolobus tephrosceles (Ugandan red Colobus). Its description in RNAcentral is "lncRNA (ENSPTEG00000012756.1)". The record is from RNAcentral. Lineage: Eukaryota; Metazoa; Chordata; Mammalia; Primates; Cercopithecidae.